Molecule: long non-coding RNA, 766 nt
Filed under: Elaeis guineensis (African oil palm)
Lineage: Eukaryota; Viridiplantae; Streptophyta; Magnoliopsida; Arecales; Arecaceae
Description: long non-coding RNA (EGUI_LNC007468)
Source: RNAcentral
AAUAAUUGAUAAUAAUUAACUAGCAUAUAUUAUUUUGUUUCUGAUAAAUAUGAUUAAAUGAUUGAUGCAGUUUAACAUCAUGAUAAUUGCUUGUGCGAACAGUUCUGUUUCUGUAUUGUAAUUAUUAAAAUCUAGUAAGAAGUACUCAUCGCAAAGUCAUGGAAUUUAGGUUGUACGGAUUAAAAAAUUUGCCAUGUAUGCAAUUAUUUUAUUUUUUUUUCCUAUCUUCUCAUCAUUUUCUUGUCAGGUUAUGAAUGCGGAGAUCAAUCACUACUCGAGAGUAGGCCGCUCCAAAUACUAAACUUUAUCUUAUCAAUUGAAAUUUAAUUAAUUAAUUUAUAAAAAUUAAUGAAAUUCUCAUUAUAUAUUAAUGCUCGGCUUAGAAAUAAAUGAGCAGGCAUCUUACAUUAGGACAAAACGAUGCCGGUCAAAAUAUUAAAUCCGAAUAUUAUCUCGAGACAGAGCAUCCUUUUGUACAACUGAUCUUGAAUAACUUAAAAGCGCAGCCUGAUUGAAUCUUGUAGCUAUAAUUAAACGUACUAAUUAUUGAUCGUAUCAAGAUUUUUGAUUUCAAAUGCCUUUAUGUUUGAGAGAUAAAGACAACUAGAAAUAGGGCCAUUAAAUGAGCGAACCAUUCAUAAGUACCUUGCAUUCAACUCAAAAUCCUGCGGCUCGAAAUGGAUUCAUCCCUUCAACAACCUAGUUGAAUAUGAAUUAAGUUCUAAAUAUUGAAAAAUUAAAAAAUCAACUGUAAAUUAAAUAUGAC